GAUCUUAUUCAACAUCAACUGAAGUCCAUGAAGAAGUCUUGCCAUUAACAACACUGGAUUGGCCCCAUAAAACCUAGUGGUAGUUCAUAACAUUGUCCUUCUCCCAGAAAGAAAAGGUUUGAUUCGCGGAUCUAGAACGGAAAGGACGUGAAUCAGAACACACCACUUCUGCCGGACUUGUUUACUCCAUGCGAAGCCCCGGGUUACAUCUCAAAUGUCAAUAUGCGGAAAAAGCUGCACAAUAGAUAUCACCUUUUACACGUGUCAUUUGUACAUUCGUGGCACAAUACAUUGUGGAGCCAGAACCUACAGUAACAGUGCAUGGGAGUUACACAGGGUCAGCCUGUGCUCUCGCAGAACCUCGUGACUCAACCAGCAAAAUAAGCAAAGCAAACUCCUCUCUUGGGUUUAGAGGAUAUUUGGGGAAACAGCUUUGAAGUAUUGCCUCAGCUCUGCUACCAAGGUUUGUCCAACACUGCUCAUGCCCUCCCCUUGCAUCCUCAACAAGCAAGGUGGUGGUUUUCAAUGGAGCUAUACAGAUUUAGGCACCCACAUCCCAUUGAAAUCCAUAGUUAUUUGGCAACUGUGCUCCCUCUGGCUCCUUGGAAAAUCCCAGAUUAGUAUGUGUAACUGUCCUAAAUGCUCCUCUUAAUUCAUGGCAAGGGUUGGAAAGGGUUCAGACUGUAGCGGCUUGGCCUGGCUUGCGUUCUACAUUAGCAGCAAAUAUUGCUAGGAGGAAGGAUGCGCGCUGAAUAGCUGGUGUCCGAAUUGACUCCAGUCUAAGCACUAAAAGCUUCUGCUCUUUGUCUCCCCAGGUAAUAAGUUAAAGAGAGUUGGGAAGCUUCUCUUGGGGGAAGGGGGAUUUCUUACAUUCACAGGCAUUUUUCAGGGAUGGAAAUAGGGCUCUCAAUCAUCUACU
Molecule: long non-coding RNA, 919 nt
Organism: Chelonia mydas (Green sea turtle)
Lineage: Eukaryota; Metazoa; Chordata; Testudines; Cheloniidae
Exons: 3
Source: RefSeq, a predicted model, not a curated record